RNAcentral lists this ribosomal RNA (253 nucleotides) under uncultured bacterium. RNAcentral's name for it is "partial 16S ribosomal RNA". It matches the Rfam family "Bacterial small subunit ribosomal RNA", at positions 524 to 776 of the family's 1533-position model. The record is from RNAcentral.
UACGGGGGGAGCAAGCGUUGUUCGGAUUUACUGGGCGUAAAGAGCUCGUAGGUGGUUUGUCGCGUUGUUCGUGAAAACUCACAGCUCAACUGUGGGCGUGCGGGCGAUACGGGCAGACUGGAGUACUGCAGGGGAGACUGGAAUUCCUGGUGUAGCGGUGGAAUGCGCAGAUAUCAGGAGGAACACCGGUGGCGAAGGCGGGUCUCUGGGCAGUAACUGACGCUGAGGAGCGAAAGCGUGGGGAGCGAACAGG